CCUACGGGGGGCAGCAGUGGGGAAUUUUGGACAAUGGGCGCAAGCCUGAUCCAGCAAUGCCGCGUGCAGGAAGAAGGCCUUCGGGUUGUAAACUGCUUUUGUCAGGGAAGAAAUCCCUUGGGUUAAUACCUCGGGGGGAUGACGGUACCUGAAGAAUAAGCACCGGCUAACUACGUGCCAGCAGCCGCGGUAAUACGUAGGGUGCGAGCGUUAAUCGGAAUUACUGGGCGUAAAGCGUGCGCAGGCGGCUUUGCAAGACAGAUGUGAAAUCCCCGGGCUCAACCUGGGAACUGCAUUUGUGACUGCAAGGCUAGAGUACGGCAGAGGGGGAUGGAAUUCCGCGUGUAGCAGUGAAAUGCGUAGAUAUGCGGAGGAACACCAAUGGCGAAGGCAAUCCCCUGGGCCUGUACUGACGCUCAUGCACGAAAGCGUGGGGAGCAAACAGGAUUAGAUACCCUUGUAGUC
This 465-nucleotide ribosomal RNA is filed under the name uncultured bacterium. Its description in RNAcentral is "bacterial SSU rRNA". It matches the Rfam family "Bacterial small subunit ribosomal RNA", at positions 338 to 795 of the family's 1533-position model. The record is from RNAcentral.